Molecule: long non-coding RNA, 3292 nt
Organism: Aedes albopictus (Asian tiger mosquito)
Lineage: Eukaryota; Metazoa; Arthropoda; Insecta; Diptera; Culicidae
Exons: 6
Source: RefSeq, a predicted model, not a curated record
GCAACGAUCAGGCUUUCAUAAGGAUUGAAGAGUUCAGCUGGCCGCUUCUGGCGUUGGCACUCUAGAAGGACUAGUGCUGCAGUGCAGCAAAAUUGCAACAAGCAUGUCACAGUACAAACGGUGCUGCUGGUUGUGAUGUUUUUGCAACCUCUUCAAAACAAGCGGGGAGGGACGGGAAAACCGGUCAAAGCUUCCCACUAAUGACCGCCGACCAAGCCGUCCACGGCCACCGCGCGGCACACACAAUUGGCGGGAAUGGUUUCGCUCUCCGUUUCGUCCCAGUUGGCGGCGCUUGUUGGAAAGUUUGUCAUUCGAUUACUAAUGAUUUUUCCCUGUUAUUUUUCUCUCAUCGCAGGAAGCGUUGCACGGUGGACGUGAGACCGGCAGGCCAGAGCCUGCCUUGUGAGUUUGCAGAAAAGUUUUCCUUCGGCUGCUUGGCAUUGUGCUCUGCUCAAUGGCUAGAUGUCAUAAACAAUGCAAACUGCACCGACUCGAAUUGUUAUGUUCGAAAAGAGGAUUAUACCGUUGAUGAAGGGGAUUAAUGCUAGACGAGAAAUCAGCAAAGCGAUCAGGGCAAGCGUUGAGUUCUUGCUGGCGUGAAGAUCAUUACACACGAAUGAUUUGGAUCUAUUCGUCAUCACUUUACAAAGGAUGUGCCCGCGCCACGUUUGUGCCGUCGCGUCGGCCGCAAGGUUGUUCGCGAGAAGAAGGGCUAAAUAUCUUCAACUGACUCGCUCUCACAGAAACAUUGCCAUCUUUGGAUAACUAAUGUAUAACCAAGCAGUUCUAUAAAAUAAUUUGGGUAGGUAACAAUUCGCACUUUUUCAUAGGCUACAUUGAAACAAGAAUAAACCUAAAUUCAAUCCACUUUCAGCCAUAACUCUCACAAUAAUCGCGAAUUAUCUGAAGAUUGAUUUUCAAGGCAAAAUUUCCGAGGCACAAUUUGUGGAAGCCAAGUAACAUUUUUUAGUCAAGUAGACUAGCAGAAGUUCGUGGAACCAUCAUAAAAUAAAAAUAAAAGGUAUAGGUUUUUAUGACGGUUAUUAAAACUUCUACAAGACUAAUUGGUCACCAAAAUUUUUCAAUCCGACCGGGCCGGCUAUAAUCAAAACAAUGCGGGAAGAGAAAACGUGUGACACAUUUGAAAGCGCAGCCGCUGACGCACAGCACCCAAGUAACAAUUUAAAUUCCAUUUAGAUUUGUUUAUUUUUAUGGAAGCUUUAUCGUAGCAUGACCAAUUCAUGGAACAUUUGUGAUUGUUUUUAUCAAGAGAAAACAAUCUUCGUUCGUUUGCGGUUUUUAGGUUUUCUUCAAGUUAAUUUUAAAAAUUGCGCAUAAAACGACUGGAUCUACUAGAAUAUUUCAUCUUAUCAUCAGUUUUAAGUCGUAUUUGAAGUUAUUUUCAACACAUAACACCAAAAUAUUUUAAUAGAAGUUUAUGCUUCGUUUAUUGAAGUGCAUUUCAUCUGAGUUAUCCUUCUUUAAAAACUGCUUGAAACCUUCUAUUCUUGAGCUAGAGCCACUACUCUGGAACAAGAACUAAGCGAAAUCAUAAAAAAAUGAACUAUCUUAUCAACCCAAACGAUAAAUUCGACACCAACAUUUCAAAAGGGCGUAACUGCUUUUGGAAUCAUCGUCUUCUUUUAAAGCUGUGGAUCAUGUGUUAUGAUUUCCAUGUUUUUCACAACAAGUACCAGAUGGGAAAAACUCUCCUCUUUCCGACAACCACGGUGGUUUGAGUGUAAGGGAGGCAGUACGACCUACAGCUUUGAAAGAAGGUAUUACUUCCAAAUGCAGUUACGCCCUUUUGAAAUGUUGGUUCCGAAUUAUGCAACAAAUUGGUAGUUAAACUGCGUUCUCAUGCAAAUGUAAACAUUUAAUCUUUUUGCUCACUGAUAAUUUAACCAUUUUGAUGCUCAAAAGUAAUCAUAUCACCGAAUUGAUUAUUUUAUAGCCAAUCAAAAAUGCGAGUAGCUUGCUGCUGUCGCCCUACCUUUAGUUAGUUACUCAUACAGGCCACAGCUAUACGAACCGAAAAUGAUAUGGGUACUUACUGUGAUUCUUCUUAUGUACAUGCUAAAUAAAGUAAUUUUAGUAAGUUGCACUUCAUUAUUGCAAAAAUACACGAAAAUAUCAUCGAAUUGGCACAUCUUGACGCGAAAUGUACAGAGACAAUUUUCUAGCUCCAAAAACGUAAACAAACAACUGUCAAAAGCUGUUACUCUUGAAUAAAGCGCACAAGUUUCAUUUAAGACGAACAAAUCUGCCUUAAGAUCACUACUAGUAAAAACAAUCUUCAAUAAAUGCUGUAGCUUUCAUGCAAGCCAACUUAGUUCCAUCAUAGCUUUGAAGUGGGUUGGAUUAAAGGUAAUAACAAUUGAUGGCGGCUGCACGAGUUUUGUUCGCUUGGAACGGCAGCCAUGUCUAGAAGGAAUUGAAAAAGUGGCGUAGCACUUUGUUUUUAUAUGAAAUUUUUGUCUUCGUAUAUUAAUGAAUGAUAUUAUUCUUGAGGCGCUAUGUUAUUUUCGUAUGUUUUAGAUGGCAUAUUAACGAAGUAGUGGGUAUGGCACGGAAAAUUUUGAUUCCCUGUCAUCAACGAUCUCUCAGGCAAUUUCAAUGCUUUAGCCAUUUCAAUUUGAUGGAAAUUAAUUCGCAGUUCAAUUAACAUUUCAUCCAUGAAACAAAACUUGUUCGCAUCUGCAUAAUGCUUAGGUAAAAGAUUUCAUUUAUUGUGCACUACUAGCACUUUUGGGAAAGACAGCUAAAAGAUCAACAUGCCUCAAGCUAUACUUGUUAAAGUUUUAUGAAGUUCUUAUAAUCAAUCAUCAGUGCAAGUACUUAAAUACAACUAGUUUCAAAGCAGUCUUCAAAAGCAGCCUUGGAGAUCUCCUGAAGAGUGGGCCAGAUUCGUCUUAUAGAUAUUUUAUGCCUAUUUUAUCUCGGAUUUGCAGAACAAAGAGCUUUAUUGCUAAGUUUUAUUAUUCUAUCUUGGAAAUAACUUCAGGAUUGGGCCCAAAUAGCCGAGGCGGUAAACGCACGGGUAUUCAGCAUGACCAUGCUGAGGGUGACGGGUUCGAUUCCCGGUCGGUCCAGGAUCUUUUCGUAAAGGAAAUGUCCUUGACUUCCUUGGGCAUAGAGUAUCUUCGUGCCUGCCACACGAUAUACGCAUGCAAAAUGGUCAUUGGCAGAGGAAGCUCUCAGUUAAUAACUGUGGAAGUGCUCAUAGAACACUAAGCUGAGAAGCAGGCUUUGUCCCAAUGAGGACGUUACGCCAACAAGAGAGAGAGAGAGA